AUGCAUAAACAAGGGAAUGUGACUUGUAGAAUCCAUCAGUCAAGUGAUUCCAAUAACUUAUACAAUUGUCUGAUACCGACGAAAAUCAGGCAAGCAGUUUCUGAAACUGCAACGCUACAAGUUGAGCACCGAGAGAAGGACAGUGGCUGUGAAAACCGGCGCCAAAGCAGAGGUUGCCGCAGCCGGCAGUGCCACAGUACCGCCGUUCUUGGUGUUGUGCGGCCCUGUGUCUGCGGCGCCACCACCGGUGUUCCUACCGCUGCCCUCUCCAGAGCCGCCUGCCAUGCGCCCGACCUUCCUGGGAGUCUGUAUCCUCUCCCCUUGGGUUUCUGCAAAGUGAAAGGCGGCAAUUCAUGCUUUUGUAAGAGAUUUUGCUUCAUGACAAUCAAGAAAUUAGAGAGCAAAGAGGAGAUGGAUGCACACAAAAUACCAACCAUGUUGAUGAGGCCUCAGAUGAUGAUGAGCUGCAUCCUCCUCGGCCAUGGCGCUUCUCGCCGCUGCUGCACACCAUACGCCAUGGGAAGCAAAGGUGAGGAGGAGGACGAGGGCGAGAGUGCCUUUCCUCAUCUUGGGGAUUGA
Molecule: ribosomal RNA, 579 nt
Filed under: Triticum aestivum (bread wheat)
Lineage: Eukaryota; Viridiplantae; Streptophyta; Magnoliopsida; Poales; Poaceae
Description: partial small subunit ribosomal RNA
Source: RNAcentral